This 437-nucleotide ribosomal RNA is filed under the name uncultured bacterium. RNAcentral describes it as "partial 16S ribosomal RNA". It matches the Rfam family "Bacterial small subunit ribosomal RNA", at positions 29 to 507 of the family's 1533-position model. The record is from RNAcentral.
AGCGAACGCUGGCGGCAGGCUUAACACAUGCAAGUCGAGCGGGCAUCCUUGUGGUGUCAGCGGCAGACGGGUGAGUAACGCGUGGGAACGUGCCCUUCGGUUCGGAAUAACUCAGGGAAACUUGAGCUAAUACCGGAUACGUGCGAGAGCAGAAAGGUUUAUCUGCCGAAGGAUCGGCCCGCGUCUGAUUAGCUAGUUGGUGAGGUUACGGCUCACCAAGGCGACGAUCAGUAGCUGGUCUGAGAGGAUGAUCAGCCACACUGGGACUGAGACACGGCCCAGACUCCUACGGGAGGCAGCAGUGGGGAAUAUUGGACAAUGGGGGCAACCCUGAUCCAGCCAUGCCGCGUGAGUGAUGACGGCAUUAGGGUUGUAAAGCUCUUUUAUCCGGGACGAUAAUGACGGUACCGGAGGAAUAAGCCCCGGCUAACUUCGCG